This 253-nucleotide ribosomal RNA is filed under the name uncultured bacterium. RNAcentral describes it as "partial 16S ribosomal RNA". It matches the Rfam family "Bacterial small subunit ribosomal RNA", at positions 524 to 776 of the family's 1533-position model. The record is from RNAcentral.
UACGGGGGGGGCAAGCGUUGUUCGGAAUUACUGGGCGUAAAGGGCGCGUAGGCGGUUUGCUAAGUUGGAUGUGAAAACUCUGGGCUUAACCCAGAGCCUGCAUCCAAAACUGGCAAACUUGAGUACUGGAGGGGAAAGCGGAAUUCCUGGUGUAGCGGUGAAAUGCGUAGAUAUUGGGAGGAACACCAGUGGCGAAGGCGGCUCACUGGACCGGUACUGACGCUGAUGCGCGAAAGCGUGGGGAGCAAACGGG